This 429-nucleotide ribosomal RNA is filed under the name bacterium. RNAcentral describes it as "partial 16S ribosomal RNA". It matches the Rfam family "Bacterial small subunit ribosomal RNA", at positions 355 to 776 of the family's 1533-position model. The record is from RNAcentral.
UAGGGAAUCUUCGGCAAUGGGGGCAACCCUGACCGAGCAACGCCGCGUGAGUGAAGAAGGUUUUCGGAUCGUAAAGCUCUGUUGUAAGAGGAGAACGUGUGUGAGAGUGGAAAGUUCACACAGUGACGGUAACUUACCAGAAAGGGACGGCUAACUACGUGCCAGCAGCCGCGGUAAUACGUAGGUCCCGAGCGUUGUCCGGAUUUAUUGGGCGUAAAGCGAGCGCAGGCGGUUUAAUAAGUCUGAAGUUAAAGGCAGUGGCUUAACCAUUGUUCGCUUUGGAAACUGUUAAACUUGAGUGCAGAAGGGGAGAGUGGAAUUCCAUGUGUAGCGGUGAAAUGCGUAGAUAUAUGGAGGAACACCGGUGGCGAAAGCGGCUCUCUGGUCUGUAACUGACGCUGAGGCUCGAAAGCGUGGGGAGCAAACAGG